GUGAGGAAUAUUGCGCAAUGGAGGCAACUCUGACGCAGCCAUGCCGCGUGCAGGAAGAAGGCGCUACGCGUUGUAAACUGCUUUUAACCGGGAAGAAACCCCAGGACGUGUCCUGGGUUGACGGUACCGGAGGAAUAAGCACCGGCUAACUUCAUGCCAGCAGCCGCGGUAAUACGAAGGGUGCAAGCGUUAUCCGGAUUCAUUGGGUUUAAAGGGUGCGUAGGCGGAGCGUUAAGUCAGUGGUGAAAUCCUGCAGCUUAACUGUAGACUUGCCAUUGAUACUGGCGCUCUUGAGUGCGCUUGAAGUGGGCGGAAUGUGCCGUGUAGCGGUGAAAUGCUUAGAUAUGGCACAGAACACCAAUUGCGAAGGCAGCUCACUAAGGCGAUACUGACGCUGAGGCACGAAAGCGUGGGGAUCGAACAGGAUUAGAAACCCUGGUAGUCC
This 445-nucleotide ribosomal RNA is filed under the name uncultured bacterium. Its description in RNAcentral is "partial 16S ribosomal RNA". It matches the Rfam family "Bacterial small subunit ribosomal RNA", at positions 354 to 796 of the family's 1533-position model. The record is from RNAcentral.